GAUGAACGCUGGCGGCGUGCCUAAUACAUGCAAGUCGAGCGGACAGACGAGGAGCUUGCUCCUCUGACGUUAGCGGCGGACGGGUGAGUAACACGUGGAUAACCUACCUAUAAGACUGGGAUAACUUCGGGAAACCGGAGCUAAUACCGGAUAAUAUAUUGAACCGCAUGGUUCAAUAGUGAAAGACGGUUUUGCUGUCACUUAUAGAUGGAUCCGCGCCGCAUUAGCUAGUUGGUAAGGUAACGGCUUACCAAGGCAACGAUGCGUAGCCGACCUGAGAGGGUGAUCGGCCACACUGGAACUGAGACACGGUCCAGACUCCUACGGGAGGCAGCAGUAGGGAAUCUUCCGCAAUGGGCGAAAGCCGGACGGAGCAACGCCGCGUGAGUGAUGAAGGUCUUCGGAUCGUAAAACUCUGUUAUUAGGGAAGAACAAAUGUGUAAGUAACUAUGCACGUCUUGACGGUACCUAAUCAGAAAGCCACGGCUAACUACGUG
Molecule: ribosomal RNA, 497 nt
Filed under: uncultured bacterium
Lineage: Bacteria
Description: partial 16S ribosomal RNA
Rfam family: Bacterial small subunit ribosomal RNA
Source: RNAcentral